GACGAACGCUGGCGGCGUGCUUAACACAUGCAAGUCGAACGAUGAACCCGGAGCUUGCUCCGGCGGAUUAGUGGCGAACGGGUGAGUAACACGUGAGUAACCUGCCCUUGACUCUGGGAUAACUGCUAGAAAUGGUAGCUAAUACCGGAUACGACCCUCGGUGGCAUCACCAGGGGGUGGAAAGAAUUUCGGUCAAGGAUGGAUUCGCGGCCUAUCAGUUAGUUGGUGAGGUAGCGGCUCACCAAGGCGACGGCGGGUAGCCGGCAUGGGAGGGUGACCGGCCACACUGGGACUGAGACACGGCCCAGACUCCUACGGGAGGCAGCAGUGGGGAAUAUGGCACAAUGGGCGCAAGCCUGAUGCAGCAACGCCGGGUGGGGGAUGCCGGCCUUCGGGUUGUAAACCUCUUUUAGUAGGGAAGAAGCGAAAGUGACGUUACCUGCAGAAAAAGCACCGGCUAACUACGUGCCAGCAGCCGCCGUAA
Molecule: ribosomal RNA, 484 nt
Filed under: uncultured bacterium
Lineage: Bacteria
Description: partial 16S ribosomal RNA
Rfam family: Bacterial small subunit ribosomal RNA
Source: RNAcentral